Molecule: long non-coding RNA, 546 nt
Filed under: Anas zonorhyncha (Eastern spot-billed duck)
Lineage: Eukaryota; Metazoa; Chordata; Aves; Anseriformes; Anatidae
Description: lncRNA (ENSAZOG00000001305.1)
Source: RNAcentral
CGGUGUCACUGGUGUGCAAGGUGCUGGGCUGCGGGAAUGAGGGGGAACUGGAAACAAUUUCAAAUUAUGAGAAGCUGUCUGGCACCGCAUGGCUGGAUCGCGUGGAGUGUGGGAAGAGCAACAGCUCCUUCUGGCAGUGUCCUUCUGCUUCCUGGGAUCCGCAGUCGUGUACUGACCGCCGAGAAGAGGCCAAUAUCACCUGCAAUGAAAGGCCGCAGGUGGCUGCAUGCCCCAACUCCACCAGCUGCACAGGUAGGGAGCUGCCCCUGCGCGUGCCCCCCUUACCUGGCAGGGCUCCCCCAGCUGUCCUGGUGCCAUGGGACAUCGCUGCCUCCCCAGACAGGGAGAAGAUCCGCGCUGUGGGAGGCAAGGACGGCUGCUCGGGCAGAGUGGAGAUCUGGCACCGCGGAACCUGGGGGACACUGUGUGACAAUGUCUGGGACAUGCGGGAUGCCGAGGUGGCAUGCAGGCAGCUGGGCUGUGGCCCCGCGGUCUAUGCCCUGGGCCAGGCUGCUGCUGGAGAGGGGACGGGCCCCAUGUGGCUGA